RNAcentral lists this ribosomal RNA (402 nucleotides) under uncultured bacterium. RNAcentral describes it as "bacterial SSU rRNA". It matches the Rfam family "Bacterial small subunit ribosomal RNA", at positions 355 to 774 of the family's 1533-position model. The record is from RNAcentral.
UGGGGGAUAUUGGACAAUGGGGGAAACCCUGAUCCAGCAAUGCCGCGUGAGUGAAGAAGGCCUUAGGGUUGUAAAGCUCUUUCGCCCGCGAAGAUAAUGACGGUAGCGGGAGAAGAAGCCCUGGCUAACUCCGUGCCAGCAGCCGCGGUAAUACGAAGGGAGUUAGCGUUGUUCGGAAUCACUGGGCGUAAAGCGCACGUAGGCGGACUUUCAAGUCAGGGGUGAAAUCCCGGGGCUCAACCUCGGAACUGCCUUUGAUACUGUUGGUCUCGAGUCCGGAAGAGGUGAGUGCAAUUCCUAGUGUAGAGGUGAAAUUCGUAGAUAUUAGGAAGAACACCGGUGGCGAAGGCGGCUCACUGGUCCGGUACUGACGCUGAGGUGCGAAAGCGUGGGGAGCAAACA